Molecule: ribosomal RNA, 287 nt
Filed under: uncultured bacterium
Lineage: Bacteria
Description: partial 16S ribosomal RNA
Rfam family: Bacterial small subunit ribosomal RNA
Source: RNAcentral
GACCUGAGGUGAAAGUGGGGACCGCAAGCCCCAACGCAGCAGGAGCGGCCGAUGUCUGAUUAGCUAGUUGGUGGGGUAAAAGCCUACCAAGGCGACGAUCAGUAGCUGGUCUGAGAGGAUGAUCAGCCACACUGGGACUGAGACACGGCCCAGACUCCUACGGGAGGCAGCAGUGGGGAAUUUUGGACAAUGGGCGAAAGCCUGAUCCAGCCAUGCCGCGUGAGUGAAGAAGGCCUUCGGGUUGUAAAGCUCUUUCGCAAGGAAAGAAAACUUAUCUAUUAAUAUUA